GGCGACGUGAGCGGUUCGCUGCCCGCGACGUCGCGAGAAGUCCACUGAACCUUAUCAUUUAGAGGAAGGAGAAGUCG
This 77-nucleotide ribosomal RNA is filed under the name Razafimandimbisonia sambiranensis. RNAcentral describes it as "partial 18S ribosomal RNA". Lineage: Eukaryota; Viridiplantae; Streptophyta; Magnoliopsida; Gentianales; Rubiaceae. The record is from RNAcentral.